GAAGUUACAUGCAUUUUGAGGUUUUAGGAGUUUAAACUGACACCCUUUUGUUUUCUUUUGUAUUGAUUUUUGGGGAUGGAUUUGCCAUUGCAGCUGGAGGUAACCAAAUUUACAUCUUCUUCUUUUUUGGUUAUACACAGGUUUGGGUAUAUGCUUUAGGUUAUAUAUAUAUAUAUAUAUAAAAUUCUUUAAGUGGAAGUUUUGAUUGGGUGAUACUAAAGGACCUGCCAAGGCUAGCGAUGGAUUUGGCAAAAAGGAUGUGAUCGCAGUGUAGCCUGGCCCUAGCAACUAGAUUGCUCAUCAGGGUUCUUUUACUCAAGGAAUGAGCUAUAUGCAUUCUCAGGUAAACAUUUCUUCUCAAUAUCACUUGCUUACUGAAAAUAUAAAUCUUGAAAUUGGAUAUUGUAAUGCUAUUUAGUGGCAUUUUUGUAUGGAUGCAAACCUUUUUUUCUUCGAAGGGCAUAAAGACUUGAUUUUGUAGGAAGCCAAAUCCUUGGAGAAAGAUUCUAUUUGUCACCUUUGGGCAUGGGAAAUGUGAUUCUGUUGAAUCCAUAAAAUUUGUUUAGAUACUGGGAAAGAAUUGAAAGGAAUUCUAUGGUGUAGGUACCUAUUUAUAAAAAAAAAUUCAAAGAAGUGACAGUUGGGAAGGAAUCCAUUUGCUUGGAAUUUCCAAUCGAACCAAGGAUAUUUUUUUAGCUUUCAUGUAAUCUUUCUUGUUUUUAACAAAAUGAUUAACGGAUGACAUUCUCUUCUAUCUGCAACUCAUAUAGAGCUUUGGAAUGACAGACAUUAAAGAAACAUUCUCUUACUCCCAUCUUCCUUUGUAAUGCAGGUUAACUCCAUUAUACAAGUAAGUAUGCUACUCGCCGAAGUUUGAAUUAGGUUCCUUUCUCUAAAUUUUUUUCCUUGAUUUUUAAGAGUAUAGUGAAUGAGUAACUUCUUCCAAGAAUAGCAAAGCAGCUGGAAACAUCUGAACCCCUGUUCUCUAUCUGAUAUUUAACUUCUUUAUAAAGUAACUACCUUUUUUAUUAUUUAUGUGCUCUAACAUUUGACAUUUGUGUAUUUAAGAUAAAGAUGGUCUGUACAAGGUUUCUAAGUCUCUUACCUGGAUACACUCAGAUAUUAUGGAUGAUCAUGUACACAUGGAGCCAUGUGUGCCAACUCAUUGCUUGGAUGAGAAUGGCUUAGAUGCUAGCUUGACAACUAAUGCUACAGUGAAUGGCUGUAAUGGUGAUGAAAACAAAGGAAGUGGAAUCCUAGCAUCCAUUGCACCUGCAUUUCCAUUUUGAAAACGUGUUGAUCAGAACAGCUGGUGCUUUUGUUCCACCACUGAAAUUUUGCCCUUUGUUUUGGCUAUAACCUUUCAGUUCUAACAUUCCUCUGAUUUUGCAAACUCCAACCAUCCUAGAAAUUUUCUAGGUUCUCAACCCAUACCUUGAAGAUUCCUUCACUUAUAAGGAGGGACUAGAUAGGUUGUGUGGCUAGCGUCGUUGCUCUAGUUCUUUUACUACCUUUAAUUUGAUGACUGGAUGCUUGUGGAAUAUACAUGCAUGCAUAUAAUGUAUGUAUGUAUGUAUGAAUGAAUGAAUGAAUGUGUGUGUGAGUGUGUUAAAAAACAAUCGGAGGUAGUCUCAUGGACAGUUUUACCUAGACACUUCUGCCUUCUGGGUGUUUUUCCCUUGCUGACACACUCCUGGUUGCUACAUGACACUUUAAAGAUUGGUACUAAUAAAUGUCUUAAUGAUGUCAUUGGAAAGUGCUGAUCCAAGCCAUGUUGUGGUUAUGAUAUUCUUAGUGUAUUAGUAGAUGCAACUCCAAGCCAUGAGUUUUAGUGGUUCAUCUCUGCUUGCUUGAA
Molecule: long non-coding RNA, 1855 nt
Organism: Magnolia sinica
Lineage: Eukaryota; Viridiplantae; Streptophyta; Magnoliopsida; Magnoliales; Magnoliaceae
Exons: 2
Source: RefSeq, a predicted model, not a curated record